RNAcentral lists this ribosomal RNA (362 nucleotides) under Vibrio parahaemolyticus. Its description in RNAcentral is "partial 23S ribosomal RNA". It matches the Rfam family "Bacterial large subunit ribosomal RNA", at positions 540 to 904 of the family's 2925-position model. The record is from RNAcentral. Lineage: Bacteria; Pseudomonadati; Pseudomonadota; Gammaproteobacteria; Vibrionales; Vibrionaceae.
GAAAUAGAACCUGAAACCGUGUACGUACAAGCAGUAGGAGCAGGCUUUGUCCUGUGACUGCGUACCUUUUGUAUAAUGGGUCAGCGACUUAUAUUCAGUGGCAAGGUUAACCAUCUAGGGGAGCCGUAGGGAAACCGAGUCUUAACUGGGCGUUCAGUCUCUGGAUAUAGACCCGAAACCAGGUGAUCUAGCCAUGGGCAGGUUGAAGGUUGAGUAACAUCAACUGGAGGACCGAACCGACUAAUGUUGAAAAAUUAGCGGAUGACUUGUGGCUAGGGGUGAAAGGCCAAUCAAACCUGGAGAUAGCUGGUUCUCCCCGAAAGCUAUUUAGGUAGCGCCUCGGACGAAUACUACUGGGGGUA